UAAGAAAAUAAAACAAUAUGUGUUCUUACAUAAUUAUUUAAAACUAUUCCUUCAUGUAGAGAAUAACUCAUGUGAUAAGGAAUAUACCUAAGCAAAUGACUAAAACAACAUGAAGCUGUAUCCUGAAAACCAGGCUUGAAACACCUCUCAAAAUUAGCAAUUUUUUAUAAGGCUGGACUGCGCAGAGGAAAUUCAUUAGCUCCAUUUAAAUGCACACCCCAGAGCCCACCUUCAGUUACCAGCAGAGCACAACACAUUUCACAUUGGAUAAACCGCUCUGACUCUAGAGAAUGAUUUUUUUUUUUAACUUAAAUCAACCUUCAUGGAACAGUUUGUAUUCUUAUGAUUUUUUCAUUAUAAGUGAAGAACUACUCUAUAGACAAGGACUGGUUCUAACUGGGGGCAGGCAGCUUGCACAGCAUGAACUAUAAGAUGCUGUAAUGACUGGCACGCCACGCUCCAGUAGACAUGUUUCAGUGGAAGACAAUUUCUCUAAGCCCAGAUCCCAAAAUCUACUUAGCAAGAAGCGUUGGCUGCAGAGACAACUUACGAGUGUCAUCCAGCUGGGAAUCUCUCGACCUGCAGAAACCAGCCACUAAAGCAACUAUUCCAUAUUGGACUCCUGUUAACCACCUGCAACUAGGACAACUCUUCCAGGACUCAUCCUGUUAA
Molecule: long non-coding RNA, 672 nt
Filed under: Vulpes vulpes (red fox)
Lineage: Eukaryota; Metazoa; Chordata; Mammalia; Carnivora; Canidae
Description: lncRNA (ENSVVUG00000030057.1)
Source: RNAcentral